AGAAUCAACGCUGGCGGCGUGCCUAACACAUGCAAGUCGAACGAGAAAGUGGAGCAAUCCAUGAGUAUAGUGGCGACCGGGUGAGUAACACGUGACUACCUACCCUUGAGUGGGGGAUAACCUCGGGAAACCGAGGCUAAUACCGCAUAACAUCGAAAGAUCAAAGGAGUAAUCCGCUUUUGGAGGGGUCGCGGCUGAUUAGCUAGUUGGUAAGGUAAUGGCUUACCAAGGCGAAGAUCGGUA
Molecule: ribosomal RNA, 243 nt
Filed under: uncultured bacterium
Lineage: Bacteria
Description: partial small subunit ribosomal RNA
Rfam family: Bacterial small subunit ribosomal RNA
Source: RNAcentral